RNAcentral lists this ribosomal RNA (464 nucleotides) under uncultured bacterium. RNAcentral's name for it is "partial 16S ribosomal RNA". It matches the Rfam family "Bacterial small subunit ribosomal RNA", at positions 28 to 507 of the family's 1533-position model. The record is from RNAcentral.
GACGAACGCUGGCGGCGUGCUUAACACAUGCAAGUCGAACGGAAAGGCCCUGCUUGCAGGGUACUCGAGUGGCGAACGGGUGAGUAACACGUGGGUGAUCUGCCCUGCACUUCGGGAUAAGCCUGGGAAACUGGGUCUAAUACCGGAUAGGAGCCAUUUUUAGUGUGAUGGUUGGAAAGUUUUUUCGGUGUAGGAUGAGCUCGCGGCCUAUCAGCUUGUUGGUGGGGUAAUGGCCUACCAAGGCGGCGACGGGUAGCCGGCCUGAGAGGGUGGACGGCCACAUUGGGACUGAGAUACGGCCCAGACUCCUACGGGAGGCAGCAGUGGGGAAUAUUGCACAAUGGGCGCAAGCCUGACGCAGCGACGCCGCGUGGGGGAUGACGGCCUUCGGGUUGUAAACUCCUUUCGCUAGGGACGAAGCUUUUGUGACGGUACCUAGAUAAGAAGCACCGGCUAACUACGUG